UGGGGAAUAUUGGACAAUGGGCGCAAGCCUGAUCCAGCCAUGCCGCGUGAGUGAUGAAGGCCCUAGGGUUGUAAAGCUCUUUCACCGGUGAAGAUAAUGACGGUCACCGGAGAAGAAGCCCCGGCUAACUUCGUGCCAGCAGCCGCGGUAAUACGAAGGGGGCUAGCGUUGUUCGGAUUUACUGGGCGUAAAGCGCACGUAGGCGGACUUUUAAGUCAGGGGUGAAAUCCCGGGGCUCAACCCCGGAACUGCCUUUGAUACUGGAAGUCUUGAGUAUGGUAGAGGUGAGUGGAAUUCCGAGUGUAGAGGUGAAAUUCGUAGAUAUUCGGAGGAACACCAGUGGCGAAGGCGGCUCACUGGACCAUUACUGACGCUGAGGUGCGAAAGCGUGGGGAGCAAACAGG
This 404-nucleotide ribosomal RNA is filed under the name Brucella melitensis. RNAcentral's name for it is "partial 16S ribosomal RNA". It matches the Rfam family "Bacterial small subunit ribosomal RNA", at positions 355 to 776 of the family's 1533-position model. RNAcentral also lists the same sequence under 2 other names. The record is from RNAcentral. Lineage: Bacteria; Pseudomonadati; Pseudomonadota; Alphaproteobacteria; Hyphomicrobiales; Brucellaceae.